UACAGAGGUCUCAAGCGUUGUUCGGAUUCAUUGGGCGUAAAGGGUGCGUAGGCGGCGCGGUAAGUCCGCUGUGAAAGUCGGGGGCUCAACCCUCGGAUGCCGGUGGAUACUGUCGGGCUCGAGUACGGAAGAGGCGAGUGGAAUUCCUGGUGUAGCGGUGAAAUGCGCAGAUAUCAGGAGGAACACCGAUUGCGAAGGCAGCUCGCUGGGACGUGACUGACGCUGAGACGCGAAAGCGUGGGGAGCAAACAGG
This 253-nucleotide ribosomal RNA is filed under the name uncultured bacterium. Its description in RNAcentral is "partial 16S ribosomal RNA". It matches the Rfam family "Bacterial small subunit ribosomal RNA", at positions 524 to 776 of the family's 1533-position model. The record is from RNAcentral.